Molecule: ribosomal RNA, 459 nt
Filed under: uncultured bacterium
Lineage: Bacteria
Description: partial 16S ribosomal RNA
Rfam family: Bacterial small subunit ribosomal RNA
Source: RNAcentral
CCUACGGGGGGCAGCAGUGAGGAAUAUUGGUCAAUGGUCGGGAGACUGAACCAGCCAAGCCGCGUGAGGGAUGAAGGUACAGAGUAUCGUAAACCUCUUUUGUCAGGGAACAAAGGCGGGGACGUGUCCCCGGAUGAGUGUACCUGAAGAAAAAGCAUCGGCUAACUCCGUGCCAGCAGCCGCGGUAAUACGGAGGAUGCGAGCGGUAUCCGGAUUUAGUGGGUUUAAAGGGUGCGCAGGCGGUCUGGUAAGUCAGCGGUAAAAGCCCGGGGCACAACCCCGGCCCGCCGUUGAAACUGGCAGUCUCGAGUUGGAGAGAAGUAUGCGGAAUGCGCGGUGUAGCGGUGUAAUGCAGAGAUAUCGCGCAGAACUCCGAUUGCGAAGGUAGCAUGCCGGCUCCACACUGACGCUGAGGCACGAAAGCGUGGGUAUCGAACAGGAUUAGAUACCCGAGUAGUC